CAGGUCUUUGUGGGUGGCUCAAAUUCACUCGUGUGAAUGGUUGACCAAUUAGGCAGUUACACUGUUGUUCGAUAAUAUUCAAUUGUUCAAACACUUGCAGUGUGUUCUUUCCUUUCUCAUUCGUAUUCUUCUUUUCUUUCUCUCUCUCUCUCUCUACCAUCGGUGGAGGAGAAAGGUGUGGGCCAGUGGGGUCCCUUGCCCCCACUAAGAUUUGAAAAAAAAAUCUCAAUUACCUUUUUUUCUUUUUCUUUUUUUUUUUUUUUUACUUUUUAUGUUAAAUAUUAUUAUAUUUUGUGUUUGAAAGAAUUUUUUUGCAGUUAAAGUAGGCCCCCCCACUGGAUCCAAGUCCUGGCUGCACCACUGUCUACCAUAACUCUUCUUGUUCUGCAAUUUCAGAAUUUAUACAUCUUUAUUCUUUUUUUUUUUUUUUUUUUUUUAAUAAAAAUAAAAUAACCGUCGAGUAGGGUAGACAACCUCGCAUGAGUGAUUAAUUCAAACAAGUCGACACAUGACACACAUUUUUUUUUUGAUACCCAGGUGUCCCAAUUUCGCCAGACUAAAUCCUGGACCCCUAGCCACCGGCCCCUCAGUAACUAGCGGAGGUAAACCGCAGGAUGUGCCCUUGUUGGAUCACAGAUUCCCACCCGAUUUUUACUCCUGACCUCAAGAGAGCUUUCCUCCAUAGUGAUUGAUCGACCAACAAUGUUGCCCAUUUGUUGGAUCACAGGUUCCCACCAGGAAUCAAACUCUCCAUACAUCUCCAUUUAUACAUCUUUAUUCUCAUCAUACAUUAGAGUGUUUCAGCCAUAUUUCUUUUCAAAAGUAUAAUCAGCAUAAAAUGCCACUCAAAAACUCACUAAAACCGCUUAUGUCCUUGAGAAAAUUGUCCUUAACCAUAUUAACCAAUCCCAUGAAAUACCUCUUCCUUUUAUGAUUAUAAUUGUGAGCUGCCACAUUUAAAUGGACAAAAAUAAGGAAACAAAUACUGUGGCCAAAUUCUAAGACCAAAUAUCACUAUAGCAGAUCCCAGACCGAUAUUUCCCUUCCCCUAAGAGAUUCUUCAAAGCUUUAGUUGAUAUUUUCUUCUCCGCAACUACAAAAAGCAGCCCAUGAUUACCUCUAUCUCUCAUUGGAAGCUAGAAACUUCGUUGAAUAGAUUAAAAUUACCAAAUAUCACAGACAUGGACUCUUAGAUCUCUCCACUUCUCAAACAAUUUAUUGCCAAUAAGAUAAAUAAUGUCACCGAUUUCAAAUAUAUGUAUUGAACAAUCCCGGAAAUCAACAUUUUCUCUUUUUUCAGCUGACAGUUCUAGCUGA
RNAcentral lists this long non-coding RNA (1317 nucleotides) under Olea europaea (common olive). RNAcentral's name for it is "long non-coding RNA (OEUR_LNC005562)". Lineage: Eukaryota; Viridiplantae; Streptophyta; Magnoliopsida; Lamiales; Oleaceae. The record is from RNAcentral.